This 460-nucleotide ribosomal RNA is filed under the name uncultured bacterium. RNAcentral's name for it is "partial 16S ribosomal RNA". It matches the Rfam family "Bacterial small subunit ribosomal RNA", at positions 338 to 795 of the family's 1533-position model. The record is from RNAcentral.
CCUACGGGCGGCAGCAGUGAGGAAUAUUGGUCAAUGGACGAGAGUCUGAACCAGCCAAGUAGCGUGAAGGAUGACUGCCCUAUGGGUUGUAAACUUCUUUUAUAUGGGAAUAAAAUGUUCCACGUGUGGGAUUUUGUAUGUACCAUAUGAAUAAGGAUCGGCUAACUCCGUGCCAGCAGCCGCGGUAAUACGGAGGAUCCGAGCGUUAUCCGGAUUUAUUGGGUUUAAAGGGAGCGUAGGUGGAUUGUUAAGUCAGUUGUGAAAGUUUGCGGCUCAACCGUAAAAUUGCAGUUGAAACUGGCAGUCUGGAGUACAGUAGAGGUGGGCGGAAGUCGUGGUGUAGCGGUGAAAUGCUUAGAUAUCACGAAGAACUCCGAUUGCGAAGGCAGCUCACUGGACUGCAACUGACACUGAGGCUCGAAAGUGUGGGUAUCAAACAGGAUUAGAUACCCGAGUAGUC